Molecule: ribosomal RNA, 253 nt
Filed under: uncultured bacterium
Lineage: Bacteria
Description: partial 16S ribosomal RNA
Rfam family: Bacterial small subunit ribosomal RNA
Source: RNAcentral
UACAGAGGUCUCAAGCGUUGUUCGGAUUCAUUGGGCGUAAAGAGCGUGUAGGCGGCCCGGUAAGUCCGCUGUAAAAGUCAAAGGCUUAACCUUUGAAUGUCAGUGGAUACUGCCGGGCUAGAGUCCGGAAGAGGCGAGUGGAACUCCUGGUGUAGCGGUGGAAUGCGCAGAUAUCAGGAAGAACACCAACGGCGAAGGCAGCUCGCUAGGACGGUACUGACGCUGAGACGCGAAAGCGUGGGGAGCGAACAGG